UAAGGAAUAUUGCUCAAUGGGAGAAAUCCUGAAGCAGCAACGCCGCGUGGAGGAUGAAUGUCGUAAGAUUGUAAACUCCUGUUAGAGGGGAAGAAUAGUACCGGUUGGACCGGUAUAUGACUGUACCCUCAGAGAAAGCCCCGGCUAACUACGUGCCAGCAGCCGCGGUAAUACGUAGGGGGCAAGCGUUGUCCGGAUUUACUGGGUGUAAAGGGCGCGCAGGCGGGAUAAAAAGUCAGUGGUGAAAUCCUACAGCUUAACUGUAGAACUGCCUUUGAUACUUUUAUUCUUGAGUUCGGGAGAGAGAGACGGAAUUCCAGGUGUAGUGGUGAAAUACGUAGAUAUCUGGAAGAACACCAGUUGCGAAGGCGGUCUCUUGGUCCGACACUGACGCUGAGGCGCGAAAGCGUGGGGAGCAAACA
RNAcentral lists this ribosomal RNA (422 nucleotides) under uncultured bacterium. Its description in RNAcentral is "bacterial SSU rRNA". It matches the Rfam family "Bacterial small subunit ribosomal RNA", at positions 355 to 774 of the family's 1533-position model. The record is from RNAcentral.